AGGUGGAUUAGUGGCGCACGGGUGAGUAAUGCAUAGGUAACAUGCCCUUUAGUCUGGGAUAGCCACUGGAAACGGUGAUUAAUACUAGAUACUCCCUACGGGGGAAAGAAUUUCGCUAAAGGAUUGGCCUAUGUCCUAUCAGCUUGUUGGUGAGGUAAUGGCUCACCAAGGCUAUGACGGGUAUCCGGCCUGAGAGGGUGAUCGGACACACUGGAACUGAGACACGGUCCAGACUCCUACGGGAGGCAGCAGUAGGGAAUAUUGCUCAAUGGGCGAAAGCCUGAAGCAGCAACGCCGCGUGGAGGAUGAAGGUUUUAGGAUUGUAAACUCCUUUUCUAAGAGAAGAUA
RNAcentral lists this ribosomal RNA (348 nucleotides) under uncultured Helicobacter sp. RNAcentral describes it as "bacterial SSU rRNA". It matches the Rfam family "Bacterial small subunit ribosomal RNA", at positions 85 to 450 of the family's 1533-position model. The record is from RNAcentral. Lineage: Bacteria; Pseudomonadati; Campylobacterota; Epsilonproteobacteria; Campylobacterales; Helicobacteraceae.